CCUACGGGAGGCAGCCGUAGGGAAUCUUCCACAAUGGGCGAAAGCCUGAUGGAGCCACGCCGCGUGGGUGAAGAAGGUCUUCGGAUCGUAAAACCCUGUUGUUAGAGAAGUAAGUGCGUGAGAGUAACUGUUCACGUUUCGACGGUAUCUAACCAGAAAGCCACGGCUAACUACGUGCCAGCAGCCGCGGUAAUACGUAGGUGGCAUGCGUUAUCCGGUUUUAUUGGGCGUAAAGGGAGCGCAGGCGGUCUGUUAAGUCUGAUGUGAAAGCCGUCGGCUUAACCGGAGUAGUGCAUUGGAAACUGGGAGACUUGAGUACAGAAGAGGGGGGUGGAACUCGAGGUGUAGCGGUGAAAUGCGUAGAUAUAUGGAAGAACACCGGUGGCGAAAGCGGCUCUCUGGUCUGUAACUGACGCUGAGGUUCGAAAGCGUGGGUAGCAAACAGGAUUAGAUACCCCGGUAGUC
This 465-nucleotide ribosomal RNA is filed under the name uncultured bacterium. RNAcentral describes it as "partial 16S ribosomal RNA". It matches the Rfam family "Bacterial small subunit ribosomal RNA", at positions 338 to 795 of the family's 1533-position model. The record is from RNAcentral.